GACAGUAAUUAAAGGACGCGAAGGAACUGAGUUUUCCGACGGCGAAGUGUUGAUUUUCCCACAAAUGAUCAAAUACAGGCUGUGUGCCGGUAACAUGGCUUGGUUUCUAACCAAUUGAUGUCCUUGUGAACGACAAACCAUGGGCUUCCGUAGUGCAAGAGGCGUUGACUGGCUCCCAUGUAUUUGUAUGUCUACAUGGAAGUCGAGAUAAAAAUGUGGAGUUUGUGGACCUAUUCUCAUUGAUAAGUUCAAAGAGGAGGCUGAGCUGCGAGGAUUGACAAAUCAGGUAUUUGUUACUGCUUGCUCUCACAUUGGAGACCACAAGUGUGCUGGAAACUUGAUUGUCUACAGCCCAGGUUCAGAUGGAAGCAUAACAGGCCAUUGGUAUGGCUACGUCACUCCUAAGGAUGUGCCGGAAUUGCUUGAUCAGCAUAUUGGGAAGGGAGAGAUCAUAGAACGACUUUGGAGGAUUGUGUGUUUUCGGUUUUGCCAACCGUCUGCUGAUGAAAAGUUCACUGGAACUGAAGCUUCUGUUGUCAUAUUUUCCUAUUGCUGAUUACUUAUAGUGUUGGAAGAUAGAUUAUUGAUAUGGAGUUACAUUAACAUUGAGGAACCAAAUCAAACAACUCGUGUGAACCAAAUCAAACAAUUUUUUUUUUUUUAUAGAACCAAACCAAAGGUGGUUUUGGGGAAGGGGGGACGGGGUCAAGGGCCAAAUGGGAGCAUCUUCGGAUGAAGCUGAAAAAAUUAAUGACCAGAAGCUUCCAAAUGGAGGAGAAAGUAAGAAAAUGGAGGAGAAGCCCUAAGAAAACGGCAAUCAGAUUCAGAAUAAUGAGAACUUUUCAGGCUGUUGCCAGGGUGCUAAUAGUAAUGGAUUUACAUGCUGCAAAGAAGUAAGUUUAGAGCAGAACAAUGGAAGUGAGGAAAAGAAGGUGAAAGAAACCAGAGAGUCGUGUGCCAGGAAGGAUGCCUUAGGGAAGCUGUCAAGCUUGAUCGGGAACUGGGAGCAAAGCGAUGUUCUCGCAGCUGCUGCCGUGGUUGGAGCUGUGGCAACAGUGGCUGUGGCCUAUAGCUUUUACAGAAGGUCAGGCUGAAACGUACUCUAAUCCAUGUCGGGUUUUGCCAUGGGUGUAGAGGCCCUAUUUUCUUCUUUUUUUUCUUUGUAGAAAGGUGUUAUAACGUCAAUUAAAUAAGCUCUUAUAUGAAAGGAGAAUAUGGUAGCUACACUAUACGUUCUUUUUCGGAGGGUUUGAUGAAUUCCCGAAGCUAAUCCAUAUAUAGUUACAAAAGUAUUCACUGUUCCUUUAUGUUGAUUGCUUACACAACUGAAAUCUGUUGUUCCAACACACCGUUGAAUGGUUUUAUCUUGAUAGUGGGAUUUGUUGUGA
Long non-coding RNA from Malus domestica (apple), 1388 nucleotides. RefSeq lists it as uncharacterized. The record is from RefSeq and is a predicted model, not a curated record. NCBI's taxonomy places the organism in Eukaryota, Viridiplantae, Streptophyta, Magnoliopsida, Rosales, Rosaceae.